CCUACGGGGGGCUGCAGUAGGGAAUCUUCCACAAUGGGCGAAAGCCUGAUGGAGCAACGCCGCGUGGGUGAAGAAGGUCUUCGGAUCGUAAAACCCUGUUGUUAGAGAAGAAAGUGCGUGAGAGUAACUGUUCACGUUUCGACGGUAUCUAACCAGAAAGCCACGGCUAACUACGUGCCAGCAGCCGCGGUAAUACGUAGGUGGCAAGCGUUAUCCGGAUUUAUUGGGCGUAAAGGGAACGCAGGCGGUCUUUUAAGUCUGAUGUAAAAGCCUUCGGCUUAACCGGAGUAGUGCAUUGGAAACUGGGAGACUUGAGUGCAGAAGAGGAGAGUGGAACUCCAUGUGUAGCGGUGAAAUGCGUAGAUAUAUGGAAGAACACCAGUGGCGAAAGCGGCUCUCUGGACUGUAACUGACGCUGAGGUUCGAAAGCGUGGGUAGCAAACAGGAUUAGAUACCCUAGUAGUC
This 465-nucleotide ribosomal RNA is filed under the name uncultured bacterium. Its description in RNAcentral is "partial 16S ribosomal RNA". It matches the Rfam family "Bacterial small subunit ribosomal RNA", at positions 338 to 795 of the family's 1533-position model. The record is from RNAcentral.